This 1092-nucleotide ribosomal RNA is filed under the name Gymnodiptychus integrigymnatus. Its description in RNAcentral is "partial 16S ribosomal RNA". It matches the Rfam family "Bacterial large subunit ribosomal RNA", at positions 140 to 2048 of the family's 2925-position model. The record is from RNAcentral. Lineage: Eukaryota; Metazoa; Chordata; Actinopteri; Cypriniformes; Cyprinidae.
CAGCUAGCUCAAUUACUCAAUAACUAAACAGUAUAAAUAAAAUAAAAUAAGCCUAAUGUCAAAAAUUAAAUCAUUCUUUCACCUUAGUAUGGGCGACAGAAAAGGUUACCCCGGAGCAAUAGAAAAAGUACCGUAAGGGAAAGCUGAAAGAGAAGUGAAACAACUCAUAUAAGCACCAAAAAGCAAAGAUUAAAUCUUGUACCUUUUGCAUCAUGAUUUAGCCAGCAUAUCCAAGCAAAGAGCCCUUUAGUUUGAAACCCCGAAACCAAGUGAGCUACCCCGAGACAGCCUAUUAAGGGCCAACCCGUCUCUGUGGCAAAAGAGUGGGAAGAACUCCGGGUAGAGGUGACAAACCUACCGAACUUGGUGAUAGCUGGUUGCCUAAGAAGUGGAUAGAAGUUCAGCCUCAUAUUCCCUAAAUCAAAUAUAUAAAAGAUAUUAAGAGGAAAUAUAUGAGAGUUAGUUAAAGGGGGUACAGCCCCUUUAACGAAGGAUACAACCUUUCCAGGAGGAUAAAGAUCAUAACACAUAAAACAUCCUGUUAUAGUGGGCCUAAAAGCAGCCAUCUAAACAGAAAGCGUUAAAGCUCAGACAGAAAUAAGUUUAUUAUUCCGACAAGAAAUCUUACUCCCCUAAAUAUUAUUAGGCCAGCCCAUGCCAACAUGGAAAAGACUAUGCUAAAAUGAGUAACAAGAAGGCCAGCCCUUCUCCAAGCACAAGUGUAAGCCAAAUCGGACCUACCAUUGGCAAUUAACGAACUCAACCCGAGAGAGUAAUGUGUAUUGCAACGAAACCAGGAAGAACCCACAAUCAAUCCAUCGUUACCCCCACACUGGUGUGCUAUUAAAGGAAAGACUAAAAGAAAGGAAAGGAACUCGGCAAACACAAGCCUCGCCUGUUUACCAAAAACAUCGCCUCCUGCGACACAACCAAGUAUAGGAGGUCCAACCUGCCCAGUGACUACAAGUUCAACGGCCGCGGUAUUUUAACCGUGCAAAGGUAGCGCAAUCACUUGUCUCCUAAAUAGAGACCUGUAUGAAUGGUUAAACGAGGGCUUAACUGUCUCCCCCUUCCAGUCAGUGAAAUUGAUCU